This 468-nucleotide ribosomal RNA is filed under the name uncultured bacterium. RNAcentral describes it as "partial 16S ribosomal RNA". It matches the Rfam family "Bacterial small subunit ribosomal RNA", at positions 28 to 507 of the family's 1533-position model. The record is from RNAcentral.
GACGAACGCUGGCGGCGUGCUUAACACAUGCAAGUCGAACGGUAAGGCCCUGCUUUUGUGGGGUGCUCGAGUGGCGAACGGGUGAGUAACACGUGAGUAACCUGCCCUUCACUUUGGGAUAACUUCAGGAAACUGGGGCUAAUACCGGAUAGGAGCUCCCGCUGCAUGGUGGGGGUUGGAUAGUUUCGGCGGUGGGGGAUGGACUCGCGGCGUAUCAGCUUGUUGGUGGGGUAGUGGCUUACCAAGGCUUUGACGGGUAGCCGGCCUGAGAGGGUGACCGGCCACAUUGGGACUGAGAUACGGCCCAGACUCCUACGGGAGGCAGCAGUGGGGAAUAUUGCACAAUGGGCGGAAGCCUGAUGCAGCAACGCCGCGUGCGGGAUGACGGCCUUCGGGUUGUAAACCGCUUUCGCCUGUGACGAAGCGUGAGUGACGGUAAUGGGUAAAGAAGCACCGGCUAACUACGUG